Molecule: ribosomal RNA, 283 nt
Filed under: Salmonella enterica subsp. enterica serovar Typhimurium
Lineage: Bacteria; Pseudomonadati; Pseudomonadota; Gammaproteobacteria; Enterobacterales; Enterobacteriaceae
Description: partial 16S ribosomal RNA
Rfam family: Bacterial small subunit ribosomal RNA
Source: RNAcentral
AGAGUUUGAUCAUGGCUCAGAUUGAACGCUGGCGGCAGGCCUAACACAUGCAAGUCGAACGGUAACAGGAAGCAGCUUGCUGCUUCGCUGACGAGUGGCGGACGGGUGAGUAAUGUCUGGGAAACUGCCUGAUGGAGGGGGAUAACUACUGGAAACGGUGGCUAAUACCGCAUAACGUCGCAAGACCAAAGAGGGGGACCUUCGGGCCUCUUGCCAUCAGAUGUGCCCAGAUGGGAUUAGCUUGUUGGUGAGGUAACGGCUCACCAAGGCGACGAUCCCUAGC